GGUCAAGCUACAAAGGGCACAGGGUGAAUGCCUUGGCACUGGGAGCCGACGAAAGACGUGAUAAGCUGCGAAAAGCCACGGGGAGCUGCAAAUAAGCCUUGAUCCGUGGAUAUCUGAAUGGAGCAAUCCGGCGGAUGUAACGAUCCGUCAUGGCAUACUGAAUCCAUAGGUAUGUCAGGGGAACCGCCUGAACUGAAACAUCUAAGUAGGGCGAGGAAGAGAAAUCAACCGAGAUUCCGUAAGUAGUGGCGAGCGAAAGCGGAAGAGGCCAAACCGCAUGCAGCAAUGUGUGCGGGGUUGCGGACUGCAUAAGGUAUGUUGAAGUCUAGCUGAACUGUAUGGGAAGGCAGACCGGAGAGCGUGAGAGUCGCGUAAGCGAAAGACAGAGACAGCCGGCAGGAUCCAGAGUACCGCGGGACACGUGAAACCCCGUGGGAAGCCGGGGGGACCACCCUCCAAGCCUAAAUACUCCCCAGUGACCGAUAGAGAAUAGUACUGUGAAGGAAAGGUGAAAAGCACCCCGGGAGGGGAGUGAAACAGCACCUGAAACCCUGAGCCUACAAGCACAUAGAGCACGUCAAAGUGUGAUAUGGUACCUUUUGUAGAAUGGUCCGGCGAGCGUAUGUAUGCAGCAAGGUUAAGCGCUUAAGGCGUGGAGCCGAAGGGAAACCGAGUCUGAAUAGGGCGUGAAGUUGCAUGCAUAGGGCCCGAAACCGGGUGACCUAUCCAUGUCCAGGUUGAAGUGGGAGUAAAAUCCCAUGGAGGACCGAACCGACCUCCGUUGAAAAGGCGGCGGAUGAGGUGUGGAUAGCGGAGAAAUUCCAAUCGAACCCGGAGAUAGCUGGUUCUCCCCGAAAUAGCUUUAGGGCUAGCGUUGUAUUAGAUUACCGGAGGUAAAGCACUGAAUGGGCUAGGGGCCGAGAGGUUACUGAACCCUAUCAAACUCUGAAUGCCGGAUAAUUGAUGUACAGCAGUCAGACUACGUGAGAUAAGUCUCGUGGUCGAGAGGGAAAAAGCCCAGACCCACAGCUAAGGUCCCAAAUACACGUUAAGUGGAAAAGGAUGUGGAGUUGCACAGACAACCAGGAUGUUGGCUUAGAAGCAGCCACUCAUUAAAAGAGUGCGUAAUAGCUCACUGGUCGAGUGACUCUGCGCCGAAAAUUCAACGGGGCUAAACGUGUAACCGAAGCUUGGGAUUUCAUUCACUGAACAAUGCUUUUUGUCAGGCAGGAGGGAAAGAUUUGCUGCCGAAGGCAGCUAAAUUCUCAAAAGCAAACGAGAGAGAAAGCGUUGGUCAGUGAAUGAAAUGGUAGGGGAGCGUCGUAUACGGGGUGAAGUAUGAGCGAAAGCGCAUGUGGACUGUAUACGAGUGAGAAUGCCGGAAUGAGUAGCGAGAAAUAUGUGAGAAUCAUAUUGGCCGAAAGUCUAAGGUUUCCGGAGGAAGGUUCGUCCGCUCCGGGUAAGCCGGGAGCUAAGGUGAGGCCGGAAGGCGUAGCCGAUGCACAUACGGUAGAGAUUCCGUAGCUGCCGGAGGAUUUAAGCAGAGGGACACUGUCAAAGGGUAUGACCCGGGCGUUGGUAGCCCCGGGCGAAAGGGACUGAAAUAUAGUAGGGAAGCAUACUUGGCGGCAGGCGAGAAAAGCUCUGUGGAUAUCUGAGGCACCCGUACCGCAAACCGACACAGGUAGACAGGAAGAGAAUUCUAAGGCCAACGGGAGAAGGGUUGUUAAGGAACUCGGCAAGUUGACCCCGUAACUUAGGGAAAAGGGGUGCUCCUGAAAGGGAGCCGCAGAGAAUAGGUCCAGGCGACUGUUUAGCAAAAACACAGCUCUAUGCUAAAUCGAAAGAUGACGUAUAUGGGGUGACACCUGCCCGGUGCCGGAAGGUUAAGAGGAGGAGUGAGAGCUCUGAAUUGAAGCCCCGGUAAACGGCGGCCGUAACUAUAACGGUCCUAAGGUAGCGAAAUUCCUUGUCAGGUAAGUUCUGACCCGCACGAAUGGUGUAACGAUCUGGACACUGUCUCAACAGCCCGCCCGGCGAAAUUGUAGUACCGGUGAAGAUGCCGGUUACCCGCGACAAGACGGAAAGACCCCAUGGAGCUUUACUGCAGCUUAAUAUUGGAUUUCGGUAUUUCAUGUACAGGAUAGGUGGGAGGCAGAGAAGGCAGCACGCCAGUGUUGCUGGAGCCGCCGUUGGGAUACCACUCUUGAGGUGCUGAAAUUCUAACCUGCGGCCGUGAAUCCGGUCGGGGGACAGUGUUAGGCGGGCAGUUUGACUGGGGCGGUCGCCUCCAAAAAGGUAACGGAGGCGCUCAAAGGUUGGCUCAGCAUGGACGGAAACCAUGCCAGAGAGUGUAAACGCACAAGCCAGCCUAACUGCGAGAGCGACAGUUCGAGCAGUAACGAAAGUUGGAGUUAGUGAUCCGGUGGUAUGUGAGUGGAAAUGCCAUCGCUCAACGGAUAAAAGCUACCCUGGGGAUAACAGGCUGAUCUCCCCCAAGAGUCCACAUCGUCGGGGAGGUUUGGCACCUCGAUGUCGGCUCAUCGCAUCCUGGGGCUGAAUUCGGUCCCAAGGGUUUGGCUGUUCGCCAAUUAAAGCGGUACGCGAGCUGGGUUCAGAACGUCGUGAGACAGUUCGGUCCCUAUCUGUCGUGGGCGCAGGAUAUUUGAGAGGAGCUGUCCCUAGUACGAGAGGACCGGGAUGGACGUACCUCUGGUGCACCAGUUGUCGUGCCAACGGCACAGCUGGGCAGCUAAGUACGGAUCGGAUAAACGCUGAAGGCAUCUAAGCGUGAAGCCGACCUCAAGAUAAGAUAUGCCACUGAGUAAUCAGGUAAGACCCCUUGAAGACUACAAGGUUGAUAGGCCGCAUGUGGAAGCGUCGUGAGGCGUGCAGCAAGGCGGUACUAAUCGGUCGAGGGCUUGACCAG
Molecule: ribosomal RNA, 2929 nt
Filed under: Anaerotruncus colihominis
Lineage: Bacteria; Bacillati; Bacillota; Clostridia; Eubacteriales; Oscillospiraceae
Description: 23S ribosomal RNA
Rfam family: Bacterial large subunit ribosomal RNA
Source: RNAcentral